Molecule: ribosomal RNA, 231 nt
Filed under: uncultured bacterium
Lineage: Bacteria
Description: partial 16S ribosomal RNA
Rfam family: Bacterial small subunit ribosomal RNA
Source: RNAcentral
CGGGUGAGUAACACGUAUCCAACCUGCCGUCUACUCUUGGACAGCCUUCUGAAAGGAAGAUUAAUACAAGAUGGCAUCAUGAGUUCACAUGUUCACAUGAUUAAAGGUAUUCCGGUAGACGAUGGGGAUGCGUUCCAUUAGGCAGUUGGUGAGGUAACGGCUCACCAAACCUUCGAUGGAUAGGGGUUCUGAGAGGAAGGUCCCCCACAUUGGAACUGAGACACGGUCCAA